AAUUUUGCUAAAUUCAUAUACAUUGUAAAACAUUGAAGCAUACAAAUAAUUCACAAGAACAAGUAGCUCUUAAGUAAAUGCCUAUUUUACAGUGUCAAGUUCCAAUAAUAUGAACUUAUAUUCUUUCCCUAUGACUGAGAUAAAUCUGCAAUUUCCUUUAGUGGCUUCCACAUGAACUUUCUCCAGUUACCACACUCUGCAAUGACCCUCACAUUAGGACGAAGUGUCGGGAGUAAAGCAAGAAACUGCAGCUCUGCCUUUGAUAAGACCUUGGCUUCUAUUAUCCAAACCACUAAUCCUUUAGCAUCCGGAGGAAGUAAAGAAAGCCUAUAAUCAACUUCUGGAGGAAAAUACCAUCUAGCUAUUGGUUGCUUACCAACAUGAGCAGGGCAGACAGGGUGGAAUUUGGUAAGAGUGGUUUCAGGGUCACCGAGGCCACGAGCCGAAAGGUCCAAGAAAUGAUAUCCCUGGUACUUAAGACGUGUAAGGUAGCGUCCUUCAUAGCCCCCUUCAUGAGGAGAGUAAAUUGCUAUGGCUUUGUGUUCUUCCACAUCUGAUAACCAUUGACCCAAAUCAGGUUUAAUGAGAUCUCCACCUAUGAAGUCCUGAAGUUCAAUGUUACAUCUAAUUGCUCCUUUCUUUUGUCUUCCAACUGAAUCAAGUCUUCUCGUUCUCACAGCCUUUGAUAUGCCAUUUAAUUGUACUCGUUGCUUCUGCAGACCAUAAGACUGCACUGCCCCUUGAUAACAGGCUGAAGAGGAACAGGGUUGGUCUUCAGUGGAAAUAUUGGGGCGCCGCCGGCAAGAAGACCCAUUGCUAGUAAUCAAGAACCUCCUAGUGCUGCUGCUGCUGCUGGUGGUGCUAGGGAAGGUGUAGGAGAGAGUUGUCAUUUGGGUAUUUUGGUGGCAGUGUGUGAGUGGUGGCAGUAGGCAGCUAUAGCAACAGAGACUGUGGAAGGACCAUUGCAAACUUGGACAAAG
RNAcentral lists this unclassified non-coding RNA (980 nucleotides) under Hevea brasiliensis (rubber tree). The record is from RNAcentral. Lineage: Eukaryota; Viridiplantae; Streptophyta; Magnoliopsida; Malpighiales; Euphorbiaceae.